RNAcentral lists this transfer RNA (83 nucleotides) under Nanobdellota archaeon. RNAcentral's name for it is "Nanoarchaeota archaeon tRNA-Ser". It matches the Rfam family "tRNA". From Rfam's summary of the family: Transfer RNA (tRNA) molecules are approximately 80 nucleotides in length. RNAcentral also lists the same sequence under 1 other name. Lineage: Archaea; Nanobdellati; Nanobdellota. The record is from RNAcentral.
GCUGGGGUAGCCAAGUGGUUACGGCGCAGGCCUUGAGAGCCUGUUCCCGCAAGGGUGCCUGGGUUCGAAUCCCAGCCCCAGCG